UGCAGGGUGGCUCAGAGGCAGUGCCAGGCUGUACUCCAGGGCAGCUGACUCCCACAGCUGAUGACUCCCCACCUGUGCCUCCAGCAUCCAGAUGGUCCACCACUGCACCAUCCACGGGAACACAGAGGAGCUGCGGCAGAUGGCGGCCAGCCGCGAGGUGCCCCGGCCACUCUCCACCCUGCCCAUGUUCAAUGUGCGCACGGGCGAGCGGCUGCCUCCCCGCGUGGACAGCGCCCAGGUGCCCCUCAUUCUGGACCAGCACUGAGGGCCCAGCCAGUGGUUCCUGGUCCAGCCCUGACUUCAUCCUCCCUUCUCUGUCCACACCAUGAGCGGCACAUCCCACCUGCUGAUUCCAGCUCCUGGCCCGCCUGGAACCCAGGCUCUAAACAAGCAGGGAGAGGGGGUGGGGUGGGGUGAGAGUGUGUGGAGUAAGGACAUUCAGAAUAAAUACCUGCUGCUCUGCUCACCUGUUGCUGCUGGCAGCCUCUCCCGUC
Molecule: small RNA, 494 nt
Filed under: Pongo abelii (Sumatran orangutan)
Lineage: Eukaryota; Metazoa; Chordata; Mammalia; Primates; Hominidae
Description: retained intron
Source: RNAcentral